Molecule: ribosomal RNA, 492 nt
Filed under: uncultured bacterium
Lineage: Bacteria
Description: partial 16S ribosomal RNA
Rfam family: Bacterial small subunit ribosomal RNA
Source: RNAcentral
GAUGAACGCUAGCUACAGGCUUAACACAUGCAAGUCGAGGGGAAACGACAUCGAAAGCUUGCUCUUGAUGGGCGUCGACCGGCGCACGGGUGAGUAACGCGUAUCCAACCUGCCCAUCACUUGGGGAUAACCUUGCGAAAGUAAGACUAAUACCCAAUGAUAUCUCUAGAAGACAUCUGAAAGAGAUUAAAGAUUUAUCGGUGAUGGAUGGGGAUGCGUCUGAUUAGCUUGUUGGCGGGGUAACGGCCCACCAAGGCAACGAUCAGUAGGGGUUCUGAGAGGAAGGUCCCCCACAUUGGAACUGAGACACGGUCCAAACUCCUACGGGAGGCAGCAGUGAGGAAUAUUGGUCAAUGGGCGAGAGCCUGAACCAGCCAAGUAGCGUGCAGGAAGACGGCCCUAUGGGUUGUAAACUGCUUUUAUAAGGGAAUAAAGUGAGAGUCGUGACUCUUUUUGUAUGUACCUUAUGAAUAAGGACCGGCUAAUUCCGUG